This 253-nucleotide ribosomal RNA is filed under the name uncultured bacterium. RNAcentral's name for it is "partial 16S ribosomal RNA". It matches the Rfam family "Bacterial small subunit ribosomal RNA", at positions 524 to 776 of the family's 1533-position model. The record is from RNAcentral.
UACGGAGGGUGCGAGCGUUGUCCGGAAUCACUGGGCGUAAAGGGCGCGUAGGCGGCGCGGGUAGUCAUCGGUGAAAGUUCAGGGCUCAACUCUGAAUCGGCCGGUGAUACUCCCGUGCUCGAGCACUGUAGAGGCAGGUGGAAUUCCGGGUGUAGCGGUGGAAUGCGUAGAGAUCCGGAAGAACACCGGUGGCGAAGGCGGCGUUCUGGACUGCAACUGACACUGAGGAACGAAAGCCAGGGGAGCAAACGGG